RNAcentral lists this ribosomal RNA (425 nucleotides) under uncultured bacterium. RNAcentral's name for it is "bacterial SSU rRNA". It matches the Rfam family "Bacterial small subunit ribosomal RNA", at positions 32 to 486 of the family's 1533-position model. The record is from RNAcentral.
AAUCAACGCUGGCGGCGCGCCUAACACAUGCAAGUCGAACGAGAAAGUGGAGCAAUCCAUGAGUAAAGUGGCGUACGGGUGAGUAACACGUGGAUCAUCUGCCCUUUUGUGGGGAAUACCGCUGGGAAACCGGUGACAAUACCGCAUAAUCUCGAGAGAGGAAAGCAGCAAUGCGCAGAAGGAGGAGUCCGCGGUCGAUUAGUUAGUUGGCAGGGUAAAAGCCUACCAAGACUGUGAUCGAUAGCCGGCCUGAGAGGGCACACGGCCACACUGGCACUGAAACACGGGCCAGACUCCUACGGGAGGCAGCAGUGGGGAAUCUUGCACAAUGGGGGAAACCCUGAUGCAGCGACGCCGCGUGAGCGAUGAAGCCCUUCGGGUGUAAAGCUCUUUCGGCAGGGACGAUAAUGACGGUACCUGCAGAA